UACAGUGCAUGUAGUGCCCAAAACAGCAAACCUUUUUUCUGCGUGGAUCUCAUGUCGGAACGGAAGAUAUGUUAUAAAUAUAAAUAUCAUUGGCUGAAUAUAGAUAAAAUUCUCACAUAUACAUUAUGUUUAUUUGUUGUAGAUACAAUGUUAAGCAAAAAAAAAAAAAAUGUUACGUUUAAGCGUACGUAGUAUACUAUCUCUCUCGUCCGGGAGCUCCAGAUCGAGGAGCCUUGUUAAUUCGGAGAUAGAUAAGGAUCUUGAUCGUAUGAUCACUUACCCCUUUUUUGACUCUCUCAAAGUAUCAACUGUUGCGUUUACUUUCAUCUCCCUUUUGUAAUCAGACCUUAGAGAUCCUAUAAAUUUUGGAAUAUGUUUACCAGUUAAAUUUUAAACAAACAAGAGAGAGCUACAAAUCAAACAUUAUAUAAAAGGAAAUUAUUGUAAAAGGACAUUAUUAUUUUUAAACCAAACAAAAAAAAAAAGAAAAUUAUUUAUUUAGAUUUUCAGUAUCUAUUCUUUUCGGGAGAUAAGAAAAAUAUACAUUAGAAAUUUAGAUGUGUCUUGAGACUUGAAUCUCGAACACGUUUGGUUGAACGUAACUAAAACACACUAAGAAAAUAAUGUGACUUGCUUAAUUAAUAUAUUACCGAAUGGUCUAUCGUUACUAAAACCGUAAAAUGAAAUCUUAAGCGUG
RNAcentral lists this long non-coding RNA (697 nucleotides) under Capsella rubella. RNAcentral's name for it is "long non-coding RNA (CRUB_LNC001071)". The record is from RNAcentral. Lineage: Eukaryota; Viridiplantae; Streptophyta; Magnoliopsida; Brassicales; Brassicaceae.